AUUGAACGCUGGCGGCAGGCCUAACACAUGCAAGUAGAACGAGUGGCGGACGGGUGAGUAAUGACUGGGAAACUGCCUGAUGGAGGGGGACAACUACUGGGAACGGUAGCUAAUACCGCCUACCAUCAGCUGUGCCCAGAUGGGAUUAGGUUGUUGGUGGGGUAACCGCUCACCACGGCGACGAUCCUUAGCUGGUCUGAGGGGUUGACCAGCCACCCUGGAACUGAGACACGGGCCAGACUCCUACGGUAGGCAGCAGUGUGGAAUAUUGCACAAUGGGCGCAAGCCUGAUGCAUCCAUGCCGCUUGUAUGAAGAAGGCCUUCGGGUUGUAAAGUACUUUCAGCGGGGAGGCGUUACCCGCAGAAGAAGCACCGGCUAACUCCGUGCCAGCAGCCGCGGUAAUUC
RNAcentral lists this ribosomal RNA (406 nucleotides) under uncultured bacterium. RNAcentral's name for it is "partial 16S ribosomal RNA". It matches the Rfam family "Bacterial small subunit ribosomal RNA", at positions 30 to 526 of the family's 1533-position model. The record is from RNAcentral.